AGUGAACGCUGGCGGUAGGCCUAACACAUGCAAGUCGAACGGCAGCACAGCAGUAGCAAUACUGUGGGUGGCGAGUGGCGGACGGGUGAGGAAUACAUCGGAAUCUACCUUUUCGUGGGGGAUAACGUAGGGAAACUUACGCUAAUACCGCAUACGACCUACGGGUGAAAGUGGGGGACCUUCGGGCCUCACGCGAUCAG
RNAcentral lists this ribosomal RNA (200 nucleotides) under uncultured bacterium. Its description in RNAcentral is "partial 16S ribosomal RNA". It matches the Rfam family "Bacterial small subunit ribosomal RNA", at positions 29 to 224 of the family's 1533-position model. The record is from RNAcentral.